RNAcentral lists this ribosomal RNA (110 nucleotides) under Nocardioides baekrokdamisoli. Lineage: Bacteria; Bacillati; Actinomycetota; Actinomycetes; Propionibacteriales; Nocardioidaceae. The record is from RNAcentral.
GGCGGCCAUAGCGAACGGGAAACACCCGGCCACAUCCCGAACCCGGAAGUUAAGCCGUUCAGCGCCGAUGGUACUGCAACCACGAGGUUGUGGGAGAGUAGGACGCCGCC